Penaeus vannamei (Pacific white shrimp) is the source of this 320-nucleotide long non-coding RNA. RefSeq lists it as uncharacterized. Lineage: Eukaryota; Metazoa; Arthropoda; Malacostraca; Decapoda; Penaeidae. The record is from RefSeq and is a predicted model, not a curated record.
AGGUUGAAUGGUGGUGGUUAUCUUAACAUGAUUCUGUGGCAGCGUCACAUGGGGAUGCGCGAUGGUGUUGAAUAAUCUGGUACAGCAGCCUCGUGUAUCACUUCCCCUAAUGACUGAUUCUACCAAGGAAUCUAGAAGAGAGAAGCCACACGCCUGACCCGCUGCUACGCUUAACCUUUUGCGACGAUUUAGAAAAGUUCGCCUAACUCCUAUUCCUCAAGAUGAAAUCCGCCCAGGGUCCUGUUCUACUGUUCCUCGCCGAGGCAGCUGCGGGCGUCGUCCCUUCGCUUUUCGAAACGCCCAGCGUCGUAUACGCUUCU